RNAcentral lists this transfer RNA (64 nucleotides) under Ameletus sp. 1 MT-2014. Its description in RNAcentral is "tRNA-Asn". The record is from RNAcentral. Lineage: Eukaryota; Metazoa; Arthropoda; Insecta; Ephemeroptera; Ameletidae.
UUAAUUAAAGCCAAAUAGAGGCUUAUCACUGUUAAUGAUAGAACUGAGAAUUCCUCUAAUUAGA